Molecule: ribosomal RNA, 906 nt
Filed under: uncultured Chloroflexota bacterium
Lineage: Bacteria; Bacillati; Chloroflexota
Description: bacterial SSU rRNA
Rfam family: Bacterial small subunit ribosomal RNA
Source: RNAcentral
GUGGCGCACGGCUGAGGAACACGUGGGUGACCUGCCCCAGAGUGGGGGAUACCCCGUCGAAAGACGGAAUAAUCCCGCAUACGCUCUACGGAGGAAAGCCCCUACGGGCGCUCUGGGAGGGGCCUGCGGCCAUCAGGUUGUUGGUGUGGUAACGGCGCACCAAGCCACUGACGGGUACCCGGUCUGAGAGGACGGCCGGGCAGACUGGGACUGCGACACGGCCCAGACUCCUACGGGAGGCAGCAGCAAGGAAUUUUCCCCAAUGGGCGCAAGCCUGAGGGAGCAACGCCGCGUGGAGGACGACGGCUUCGGGUUGUAAACUCCUUUCGGGUGGGACGACCACGACGGUACCACCAGAAGCAGCCCCGGCUAACUCUGUGCCAGCAGCCGCGGUAAGACAGAGGGGGCAAGCGUUGUCCGGAGUUACUGGGCGUAAAGGGCGCGGAGGCGGUCUGCGGCGUCGCGCUGAAACGCCCCGCUUAACGGGGCGAGGCGUGCCGAUACGCGCAGACUUGAGGCGAGCAGAGGGUGGUGGAAUUCCGGGUGGAGCGGUGAAAUGCGUAGAGAUCCGGAGGAACGCCAGUGGGGAAGCCGGCCACCUGGGCUCGCCCUGACGCUGCGGCGCGACAGCGUGGGGAGCAAACCGGAUUAGAUACCCGGGUAGUCCACGCCGUAAACGAUGCCAGCUCGGCGUGUGGCGCACGGUUGUGCGCUGCGUGCCUUAGCUCACGCGAUAAGCUGGCCGCCUGGGGACUACGAGCGCAAGCUUAAAACUCAAAGGAAUUGACGGGGGCCCGCACAAGCAGCGGAGCGUGUGGUUUAAUUCGACGCAACACGAAGAACCUUACCUGGGCUUGACAUGACGCUGCACGCCGUCGAAAGACGGCCGCCUGCGAGGGCCCGUCA